RNAcentral lists this long non-coding RNA (2515 nucleotides) under Sus scrofa (pig). RNAcentral describes it as "lncRNA (ENSSSCG00000058944.1)". Lineage: Eukaryota; Metazoa; Chordata; Mammalia; Artiodactyla; Suidae. The record is from RNAcentral.
AUGGGUUUGAUCCCUGGCCUCACUCAGUGGGUUAAGGGUCCAGCAUUGCAGCAAGCUGUGGUUUAGGUGGCAGCUGCAGCUCUGAUUUGACCCCUGGCCCAGGAACUUCCAUAUGUCACAGGUGUAGCCGAUUGUAACCAGAGUAUAAGUCAUAUCCCCCUCAGCUGACCCAGAAGCCCACCCUGCCUUCUCACCUCACCUCACUCCUCUCUUCCAUCAGCCAUCUUUGCUGUCUCAUCACCUGAGGCAGGCCGAGCCCACCUCCCUGUCUUGUCAUCAUGACCAUCAGGAGCACGUAUGGAUGUCGCAGAAGCACGUGGGGAAGGCUGAGGCUCCAUUUCCUCAUCCAUAAAAGGGGGUGAUACCUCCCUCCCUGAGUUACUGUGAGGCUUAGACAGAAAAUGUGUGGGGCACCUGGGCCACUGGGCUUAGGUGUUACUGCAGCAGAGGCAUUCCAGAAGCUCCCAGCUGGUCCAGCCAUCUCUAUCAUCCACAGUAGACCUGAGCUCACCAUCUGUCUUUGAUAACCAUUCCACCAGGUCUUCCAGCACCUGAAGGAAGUACCAUGAUGGGAGUCACAGGGCAGGGGAGGUGAAUAUUGAGCCUCCCACACCCUGACCUGCGAAGAUGGUUUAGAGGCAUUUCCAAAGAGCAGGACCAUUGGGUUGGAGAGCUCCCAGGCAUUUCCUGAGACUCUUCUCCUUGGCCUUUUUCCCGACCAGAAGGAUUCUUCAAUUUCAAAAUCAAAGUAAAAUAAAAUCUCUGGCAAAACACCAGAAUAGAGCUGAGCAUCUCUGUCAGCAAAUUUUGCUUCCCCAAGAACUAUCUCCACAGGCAGAAACACAGGUGGUCCGUAAAGAGCAGACAGAUGUGGGGCACAGGAGUCCUGCCUCAGCCUAGACCAUCCCCAGAGGUGCAUAGAGUGGUGUCUGGUCCCCAGGGCAUAGCCUUCCGAGCACAAGUUGGGGGAGAGGCCAUAAGGGGCAUUCUUCCAGAAGAACUACAAGAUUUCGCUCAUUUAUAUUGGGAAAAACUUUAGGAAUGAAGGUAGGAGUGGAUUCUAGGAAAUUCAAUAAGGAGGAUGGUACGGAUUCUGAAUGUAAUGUUCACUCAAGCAGCCAGACGUGGCUCCAAGAGGUGGCUUCGUCGGUUGGCUGAAAGUUGGACUCAGUGGUUCUACAUUCAGUGAGGUUCUACCCUGGCAUGAAGGUUGCUGUUGGGGGCAUUUAUCAUGGGUGCCCUGCACACCCACUUGCUCACCUUGUCCCCAGAGCAGACUCGGAGGACACCCCCUCUGCUAAGCACUCUGAGAAAGGUGUUAGUGAGGGGCACCAGCCCCUCUGAAGAGCUCCAUGGUGGCUGAGCUCUGUAGCGUGGGCACGCCGGGGGCUACAGCUGUUGAAUGGGCUCUCCCGUUUGGGCAGGGAUGAUGGGCUCACUGCACAGAGAAGACAGGAACAGCGAUGUUAUCAAACCAAAACUUGGCUCCCCUCACCUGUGUGUGGUAAAGCCUGUCUCCUGACACCUGCUUUGGUAAAGGAGUGUGCAGCGUUUAGGACAGGGUACCAUGCAAGGAGUCUGGGACAGUUAAUGUUCAGAAAGCCCAAACUCUCCAAGGGGCUUCAGCAAAGAAUUUUUUUUUCCUUUUUUUAAAGUGAAGUAUAGUCGAUUGACAAGGUUGUGAUGAUUUCUUCUGUACAACAAAGAGAUUCAGUUAUACAUGUACACAUCCAUUCUCUUUCAGAUUCUUUUCCCAUACAUAUUAUCACAGAAUACUGGGUGGUGGUCCCUAUGCUGUGGACCAGGUUCCUGUUGGCCAGUCAUUCCAUAUACCUCAGUGUGCAUAUGCCAGUCUCAAACCCCCAGUCCGUCCCUUCCUCCCCGCCCCCACCUGUCCCCUUUGGUACCAUAAGUUUUUCAGUCUAUGAGUCUGUUUCUCUUCUGCAAAUAGGUUCAUUUGUGUCCCUUUUUUUUAGAUUCCACAUGCAAGUGAUAUCAUAAGAUGUCUUUCACCAUCUGACUAACUUCACAUGGUAUGAUAAUUUCUAGGUCCAUCCAUGUUGACGCAAAUGGCAUUAUUUCAUUCUUUUCAUGGCUGAGUAGUAUUCCAUUGUAUAUGUGUACCACAUCUUCUUUAUCCAUUGCUAUGUCGAUGGACAUUUGGGUUGCUUCCAUGUCUUGUCAGCAAAGCAUUUUUAAAGGCAGGGCAAGCGAAGGCAAUCGCUUAUACACAAUUUACUGAUUGAUAGUAAGUUAAAGUAAAGGUAAGGGAGUUUCCUUCGUGGCUCAGCAGUUAACAAACCUGACUAGGAUCCAUGAGGAUGUGGGUUCCAUCUGUGCCCUUUCUCAGUGGAUUAAGGACCUGGUAUUGCCGUGAGCUGUGGUGUAGGUCACAGAUGUGGCUCAGAUCCCAAAUUGCUAUGGCUAUGGUGUAGGCCGGCAGCUGUAGCUCUGAUUCAGCCCCUAGCCUGGGACUCUCCACAUGCUUCCGGUGUGGUCCUAAAAAGCAAAAAAA